RNAcentral lists this ribosomal RNA (670 nucleotides) under uncultured bacterium. Its description in RNAcentral is "partial 16S ribosomal RNA". It matches the Rfam family "Bacterial small subunit ribosomal RNA", at positions 72 to 691 of the family's 1533-position model. The record is from RNAcentral.
GCAGUUGACGAUAAUUUUUCGUAGCAAACGGGNGAGUAAUUUAUAAAGAUAUNNACCUUUUAGUCUUGAAUAAAACAUAUUUAAUUAAAAAAAAAUCUUUAAUGUAUUUGUGUUAACACGGGAUAAAACAAAAAAAAUUAAAAUAUAAAAAUAUAAGUAUUUUAAUUUGCUAAAAGAUAAUUUUAUAAAAAAUUAGGUUGUUGGUAAUUUAAUGAAAAGCAUACCAAGCCUACGAUUUUUAGUUGGUCUGAGAGGACGGUCAACCACACUGGAACUGAGAAAAGGUCCAGGCUAAAUUUUUGGCCAGCAGUGAGGAAUAUUGGACAAUGAACGAAAGUUUGAUCCAGCAAUACUAUAUGAAUGAUGACGGCUAAUUUUUAAAGUUUCUUGUACACCCACCGCAAGAAACUUGGGUUGUAAAAUUCUUUCGUUAAAAAAGAUAAUGACAUUAUUUAAAGAAAUUUUAGUCCCGGCUAAUCUCGUGCCAGCAGCCGCGGUAAUACGGGAGGGGCAAGCGUUAUCCGAAAUAACUGGGCGUAAAGGGUUCGUAGAUUGUAUCGUAAGUUAAUUGUUAAAUCCUAAAGCUUAACUUUAGAAAAGCAUUUAAAACUGCAUUACUUUUGAGUUUUAUACAGAAGAGUUGAAUUUCAUGUUGAGGAAUAACCUCCAA